RNAcentral lists this ribosomal RNA (738 nucleotides) under Achromobacter deleyi. Its description in RNAcentral is "partial 16S rRNA". Lineage: Bacteria; Pseudomonadati; Pseudomonadota; Betaproteobacteria; Burkholderiales; Alcaligenaceae. The record is from RNAcentral.
CGCUUUCGUGCAUGAGCGUCAGUGUUAUCCCAGGAGGCUGCCUUCGCCAUCGGUGUUCCUCCGCAUAUCUACGCAUUUCACUGCUACACGCGGAAUUCCACCUCCCUCUGACACACUCUAGCUCGGUAGUUAAAAAUGCAGUUCCAAAGUUAAGCUCUGGGAUUUCACAUCUUUCUUUCCGAACCGCCUGCGCACGCUUUACGCCCAGUAAUUCCGAUUAACGCUUGCACCCUACGUAUUACCGCGGCUGCUGGCACGUAGUUAGCCGGUGCUUAUUCUGCAGGUACCGUCAGUUUCACGGGGUAUUARCCCAUGACGUUUCUUUCCUGCCAAAAGUGCUUUACAACCCGAAGGCCUUCAUCGCACACGCGGGAUGGCUGGAUCAGGGUUUCCCCCAUUGUCCAAAAUUCCCCACUGCUGCCUCCCGUAGGAGUCUGGGCCGUGUCUCAGUCCCAGUGUGGCUGGUCGUCCUCUCAAACCAGCUACGGAUCGUCGCCUUGGUGAGCCGUUACCCCACCAACUAGCUAAUCCGAUAUCGGCCGCUCUAAUAGUGCAAGGUCUUGCGAUCCCCUGCUUUCCCCCGUAGGGCGUAUGCGGUAUUAGCUACGCUUUCGCGUAGUUAUCCCCCGCUACUAGGCACGUUCCGAUACAUUACUCACCCGUUCGCCACUCGCCACCAGACCGAAGUCCGUGCUGCCGUUCGACUUGCAUGUGUAAGGCAUCCCGCUAGCGUUCAAU